GAUGAACGCUGGCGGCGUGCCUAAUACAUGCAAGUCGAGCGAACAGACGAGGAGCUUGCUCCUCUGACGUUAGCGGCGGACGGGUGAGUAACACGUGGAUAACCUACCUAUAAGACUGGGAUAACUUCGGGAAACCGGAGCUAAUACCGGAUAAGAUAUUGAACCGCAUGGUUCAAUAGUGAAAGACGGUUUUGCUGUCACUUAUAGAUGGAUCCGCGCCGUAUUAGCUAGUUGGUAAGGUAACGGCUUACCAAGGCAACGAUGCGUAGCCGACCUGAGAGGGUGAUCGGCCACACUGGAACUGAGACACGGUCCAGACUCCUACGGGAGGCAGCAGUAGGGGAUCUUCCGCAAUGGGCGAAAGCUUGACGGAGCAACGCCGCGUGAGUGAUGAAGGUCUUCGGAUCGUAAAACUCUGUUAUUAGGGAAGAACAAAUGUGUAAGUAACUAUGCACGUCUUGACGGUACCUAAUCAGAAAGCCACGGCUAACUACGUG
This 497-nucleotide ribosomal RNA is filed under the name uncultured bacterium. RNAcentral describes it as "partial 16S ribosomal RNA". It matches the Rfam family "Bacterial small subunit ribosomal RNA", at positions 28 to 507 of the family's 1533-position model. The record is from RNAcentral.